CACGUAGGGUGCGAGCGUUGUCCGGAAUUAUUGGGCGUAAAGAGCUCGUAGGCGGUCUGUCGCGUCGGUCGUGAAAACCUGCAGCUUAACUGUGGGCUUGCGGUCGAUACGGGCAUGACUGGAGUUCGGCAGGGGAGACUGGAAUUCCUGGUGUAGCGGUGAAAUGCGCAGAUAUCAGGAGGAACACCGGUGGCGAAGGCAGCUCGCUGGGACGGUACUGACGCUGAGGCGCGAAAGCGUGGGGAGCAAACAGG
Molecule: ribosomal RNA, 254 nt
Filed under: uncultured bacterium
Lineage: Bacteria
Description: partial 16S ribosomal RNA
Rfam family: Bacterial small subunit ribosomal RNA
Source: RNAcentral